This 460-nucleotide ribosomal RNA is filed under the name uncultured bacterium. RNAcentral describes it as "partial 16S ribosomal RNA". It matches the Rfam family "Bacterial small subunit ribosomal RNA", at positions 338 to 795 of the family's 1533-position model. The record is from RNAcentral.
CCUACGGGUGGCAGCAGUGAGGAAUAUUGGUCAAUGGGCGCGAGCCUGAACCAGCCAAGUAGCGUGAAGGAUGACUGCCCUACGGGUUGUAAACUUCUUUUAUAAAGGAAUAAAGUGAGGCACGUGUGCCUUGUUGAAUGUACUUGAUGAAUAAGGAUCGGCUAACUCCGUGCCAGCAGCCGCGGUAAUACGGAGGAUCCGAGCGAUAUCCGGAUUGAUUGGGGUGAAAGGGUGGGUAGCUGGGCUGGUAAGCCCGUGUGUACACGUUGCGGCUCAACCGUAAAAUUGCAAUUGAUACUGGCAGUCUGUGUUACCGUUGUGGUAGGCGGACUGCGUGGUGUAGCGGUGAAAUGCUUAGAUAUCACGAAGAACUCCGAUUGCGAUGGCAGCUUACUAAACUGCCACUGACAUUGCUGCUCGCAUGUGUGGGUAUCAAACAGGAUUAGAUACCCCAGUAGUC